ACUAACUUUUAACAAACAGAAAAUUUAAAGGAAAAAAAAAUUGAGAAAACAAUUUUGCAAUGACGAUACCAUGUAGUAUAACUGUCUCAAAUGAAAACAUUUGAACAGUUGUUGUUGUUGUGUCGUAGAUUGUGCGUUUUGGUUUUCCUGAUUGGAAAUGAAUGUCACACAAUUUUUGUUCCAGAAACCCCCGAAAAGACAAUCAAGUUCAAUCACACAGCAAAUAGCAACAACACUGACGAUAGAACAUUCGUUCAUAACUCUAUUAUAUGAAAAGAAAUCCGAUAAUAUUUCGUUGGUCUUUUCGCGUGUCCUUUUUGGUUGAUGACCUUUCAUACAUUUACAAAUCGCACGGAACACAAAUUCAUUUUCGAGAACUCGGAACCGUAUAAAAAUAGUCAAUAAUCUUGUAGCAAUACAAAAUUGAAGUAUAAUAAACAAUUGAACUGAAGUGGCAGCACUCCAAACAUCACAUUAAGCAAUCGAUUC
This is a long non-coding RNA of Bradysia coprophila, 489 nucleotides long. Lineage: Eukaryota; Metazoa; Arthropoda; Insecta; Diptera; Sciaridae. The record is from RefSeq and is a predicted model, not a curated record.